GUGAGCUCCCUCUAGUGGUGGCUGUAUAAUUCCAUAUGCGGUGAACAAUGGGGAACAAUUCCUUUAAGGCGUAUUGGAAAUGUUUGAGAUGGGAAUCCGCCUCCUUGUAUGUAAAUGCUCUCAGCCCCUGCAUAAUAGAAGACACAGCCGCCAUCUUGAGAAAGCUAUGGAUGCCGCAGCCUGUUUACCUCUGUACCACUGCAGAAAGUGGACAGUCCCUUUAAGGUAUCUUCACCAGUGAUUUUUAUUGUGUUUUUAUUUUUUUAAUCGCUGCAGGGUUUUUCUUAUUAGCGCCGCUGUAUUUUUUUUUUUAAAGCCGUACUCCAUUUUGUUGCCCCCCCAUAGACGAUGGAGAAAUCCUGGUGGUUUUAGCGCCAUUUCGCCUUAGGCCCCCUUUACUCUCCAGGACUCUCAUGGUGAGCAGCAUUUUAUAGGUCCCAGUCCGCACUGAUCAACCUCACAGGAUCCCCACAGCCGCCAUAGGGGAUAUUCUUGUAUCGAGAUCCCGGUGUCACUAUGCAGCGUCACCUGAACGUGUACCGGAACGUCUGCUGUUUUCGUCUGGAAAAAUAUUUUAAUAAAGCUUCUU
Long non-coding RNA from Bufo bufo (common toad), 589 nucleotides. RefSeq lists it as uncharacterized. The record is from RefSeq and is a predicted model, not a curated record. The transcript is spliced from 3 exons. Lineage: Eukaryota; Metazoa; Chordata; Amphibia; Anura; Bufonidae.